UGUCAGCACUCAUCUGAUAUACUUGACUGAUAUGAAUUUCAUUUUUUUUUUUGUGGGCAGUGGUGGCUUAAUGCUUAGGGAAGUGCUCUUGUAACUGAAAGAUUGCAGGGACAGAUGUCAUUAAAGUCUUUGAUACUAAUUAUGGACGGGGAGAUACAGCGGCUUGCUCUGUUGGGCAGUCACCUAAUGAGGUGAUGGAUGACAGCUAUUUCCUGUUGAUCACUGCUAGUAUCACUGCUGCAAUAUCAGACAGUUAAACAUCAGGAACACACUUCUGCUUUUUUGUACAUUGUAUUCACAUUAUCACACUUAAAAUAUACGUGAACCAUAACCCCUGUUUAAAUGUUGAGUGCAUUGAACCUCAGUAUCGGUGUCUCGCCUUUUGUAACUUCCUAAUGAUCAUUUUUAGCUGCAAUGGGAAGUCGGUGCUCAGCGACACCUGUUAUGGCACUUUUAAAUACCUGGAGGUGUCAUGGCCGCCUUGCUACCAGCAAAAUUAAAAGCUAACUGAUUUAGAAGAGAAUAUAUCAUGCUGCCGUGAAGAAGAAUCAGCUUCUGCUGGUGCUGCUUCCCGUUUGUCUCCUCGGGGAAGAGCAUCACUUCUCCUACAGUUCCAUCAGCUGCGAGAAUCAUCUCAUUAGGAUCUACGAUGCCUUCUAUGGGUGGAUGAGCCACACCAUUUGCUCUAAUGGUCGUCCUAAGUUGCAGCUGACCAAUGCACGAUGGCUAAAGGCGUUGACAUUGUAUCUGAAGGGUAAAAUGUGCUUUUCCUUUCCCGAUUAAACAUACUCAUCUAUUUCUACACAGGAAAAUGUCUGCAUUUUAGCUCUUCAUCCCCGACGGAACCAGCUGUGACCAUGCAUUCACUCUCACAGGUCCAUGUCUUGGAAUCUACAAACAUCUUGAAGUAUCAUAUGAAUGCAUUGUAACUUGGGGAUAAGGAUGGCCUCGAGCACUAAGCCAGCCUCCUUGGACAGUGUGUUCCAUCUCUUGGCUUCCCCAGCUUUCAUACCACUGCCCCAAAACAGCAGCAUGGAGGUCUGUAGCAGAAGUUAUACACAAUAAAACGGCUAAAUCCAAAAUCUACACUUGUGACCAUGGCAGUAGCUGGAAUUUUUGAACAUGUGGCUUUUGCAAAUGUACUUUCCACAGUUGCUGCAAGACGUACUUGUUUCGCAGUGCAGAAAUUGCAUCUCUUCCUCUUCUAUCCCUUUCCAUUCGCUUGCAGUGUGACUGCAGGCCAAUCAGGUUUGGACUGCUCGACAGGCCUUACAAAUGCUUCAGAGGACGGCCUGCAGGGAAUAUGCUGCACUCAUACUCCACAACAGGAAUCACAAGAACCUUUUCAUGCUCCUCCAGAACCAGCUUCCUCUUAUUCUUCUGGCUUUCCUUCCAGUAGGGAUUUAGUUCACUCCAUACUGUUGUAAUGCAGUUGUAGCUGGAGACAUCAGUGAUGUUGGAAAAUAUCCAUGGAGCCAGCAAGCCAUCUUCCUGUCUGUGAUUUUGAUUGUCCACAUCUCCUUUGUUAGCAUUGUAAUCUCGAUUGUGUCCUCAAAACUGACUUCAGUGCCCAUGUGAAGCCUACUCAUUAGCAUCACAUUCUUGGUCCUCUUUGGGAUUUAAGAAACUGGAGUGGAGGUGGGAAUGAAAGCAAAUGACAUGACCUCUGUCUUUCGAUGCAAUCAGAGUAGAUGGCAGCUCCGGCUUCUUUAGCCUCGAUGUGCCGACCAUAGUGAUCUUCAGGCCAAGUUCAAAGGAAGCAAACAAAUUAUCAUAGAUGACUACGUCAGGUCUCAUGACAAUUUUAGGACGGCCCCUCCAAACAAUGUGUGAAAUGUUUACUGUUUCAAUGCGUAUUUAUAAAUCUUUUACACGUUUCAAUGCACCUGUGCUCAUUUAGUUGACCCUAUUAACAUUUGUAAAAAUUUGUGUAGCAGCUCUGCAAAUUAUAAAAUUUGGUCAAAUUUACAUUGUUGCAUUUCACGCUAGAAAAUUCAUAUUUGGGGUGUUUUUCCUGCUGUUGACUUCCUGUUGUUUGACUUAAACUAAUUCAUACAGUAUACUGUUGAUGUAUAUAUGUGGAGAUGCCUCUAAACCCGGCUGUUUAUAUUAGUCCAGCUGAGCACCGUUCUCUUCCUUCCUUGUAAGAACAUUUUCAUGCUAUUAACUCACAACCAGAGGCUGUGUGGCUGUUGUGUAUAAUGACUCUUUGGUCUGAUGUGAAUUGUAUCAUCAUUGCAUUUUUGCUGGAGAACCUUCAAUCAUGGAUGAACUAAUGAAACAUUCAUAUAUUGUGAAGUUGAUUUACUGAGAGAUUAGAUGAAAUAUAUAGUGGUGCUUGUGCAAGUAUAAUGAAAACUGAUUGUAAUCCGCCUAGCCUGCAGAAUAUUGUGUGAAGCAAGGUCAACAGAAGGAAAAAAAAAUCGAACAUCCCACGUCCAAUACAAAUGUAUCGCAAAAGGUUAUUUAUAAUGAAAAUAUAGUUAAGCUUAGCAAAAUGGUUGCAGAAUCAAAAAAUCAAGAUGACCUAGAGGGUAUGUUGACCUUUACUUAAUUAGUUGCCACUUCCAUGUUAGCAUUAAGCAAGCAUAAUUUAGCUGCCAUGGGGAAAUAAGUUUCGACCAAUCAAAUUCAUGGACGAGUCAUGUGACAAAAGCAUAUAUAACCUGUAAGCAUUUAAUAACAUGUGGCUCCCUUUGCACAAGGUGAAUAAAGUAACGUAGCAUUGA
Brienomyrus brachyistius is the source of this 2729-nucleotide long non-coding RNA. RefSeq lists it as uncharacterized. The record is from RefSeq and is a predicted model, not a curated record. The transcript is spliced from 4 exons. NCBI's taxonomy places the organism in Eukaryota, Metazoa, Chordata, Actinopteri, Osteoglossiformes, Mormyridae.